This 239-nucleotide long non-coding RNA is filed under the name Gossypium barbadense (sea-island cotton). Its description in RNAcentral is "long non-coding RNA (GBAR_LNC017079)". The record is from RNAcentral. Lineage: Eukaryota; Viridiplantae; Streptophyta; Magnoliopsida; Malvales; Malvaceae.
AAACCUUUCUUUUUAUUCAUCAUAAUAUAAUCCAUUUAAAAUAGUAAUUAGAUUUAUUUAUGCUUAGAAUAGAAUUAAUUUAGUGCUCGCCUCCCUUAGGUAUGAUCCUUAGAGUACUCACCUACUCCGUUGUAACUAUAUUAGAACUUGACUCGUACACUUGUAAAUUCCACCUUUCAUAUAUUUUGUGCAGAAUUUCUAUUCUAGAUGUUGGUACAUCCGGAGGUAGUCAAUAAUCU